This is a long non-coding RNA of Populus nigra (black poplar), 1469 nucleotides long. RefSeq lists it as uncharacterized. The record is from RefSeq and is a predicted model, not a curated record. Lineage: Eukaryota; Viridiplantae; Streptophyta; Magnoliopsida; Malpighiales; Salicaceae. The transcript is spliced from 2 exons.
UUUUAUAAGAUUAUGAAAUACUGUGUAUUUUUAAAUAACUUAUUCUUUUGAUAUGUCUGUAUAGAGACUUAGUGUAAGUGGGGUAUCCUUACAACACAACCUGCAUUGCAUCGUGACAAAGGUGAUAUCAGAACCCAGUUUUGUUAAAAUCCCGUAAUCUGGUUUUGUUAAAACCCUCGUAAUAUGUGGAGCUUAGGAUCUGUCUUGUCUUGAUGUCAUUCCUUUUAUAAUUCUUCAUCCUUGUGUUUUGUAUGUCGUCCUAGAACUCUUUUAUACUUAUGUUGAUAUACUUGCAUUCUUUUAGAAAAAAUACCAAGAGCUAGACAUGUAGUUAAUGCUGACUAUAUUGGUAAUGAUCAGGAGAACAUUCCUAUUAUUCAGCUAAAAAAUGAGAGGCGUAAAAGGAAGGUUAGAACCCCUUUGCCUCAGCCAAAUAGAGGUAGAAGUUUAGGAUGAGAGAGAUUAUGGUUUGGAUGUUGGUCAGGAUCAAAAACAAGAAUUACAGGGUAGGCUGCCUUAUGCUAAUAGUGCUUGGAUAAGAUUGGACAGGCCAUGCAGACCCUAGCUAAUCUUUUAGUUGAGAGAGAGAAAGAGAAGGAGAAGAAUAAGAAUGCAUCUUUGACUUUUCAUAUUGUGUAUGGGGUGAUGGUGCCUUUGUUAGAGUUCUUUAAGCUGGCAUCUCUCAUCUUUAAGGGAGUCAAUAACUCUGAGGACCCACAAUAAUUUUUGGAUGCGGUGUGGAGCAGGUGUGAGGCCAUGGGAUGCACGGAUCAUUGUGUAGUGACUUUAGCAUCUUUCAGGCUAGAAGGUGAGGUAGUUGUUAACUGUGAACUGGUAUGAUUCGAAGAGGAGAGAAAGAGCAGUUAAUUCUCCUCUUAUAACAUGGAAGGAAUUCCCGGAUAUGUUCUUGAAGCGAUUUUCUACCGAAGAAUGUGAGGGACGCCAAAUCCUAUGCUUUUGAGAGGCUGGUUCAAGGUGACUUUGUUGUGACAAGGUAUGACGUGAAGUUCACACGUCUGUAUAAAUAUGCUGGCUAUUAAGGCACGAAAGUUAGAGGAUGAAAUAACAAUCGGUUCUGCUAAGAGGCUCAAGGUGGCGACGUGAGAGUUUGAAAAAGAAAUGCUCGACGAGUACCCACACUUCUUCUAUCAUGAUGAUUUCUUUCAUUGAAGCUUCUUGGACCAGAAGAUCUCGAGGUGAACUUGCAAAGAAACCUAACAAGAAUCUUGGAAAUAUAGGACGAACAUGCUUUAACAUAAAAUGUUGACGCACAAGGUUGCCUCUUACUUUCAAAGUCUACAUGCCUACCCUUGUCACUCUGUAAAGGAUAAGUAUUUUGCCCGUAAAUGAUGUUUCAUCAGCUUUAGUUGGAUGUGCAUCUUUACUUCAACACCUUACCUAGAAUUUCUCGAAAACCAAUCAGAAUUUCUAAUUAUCAAGAUUUUAUAUAUACAUUGUUAUCUUUUUUA